Pelobates cultripes (western spadefoot toad) is the source of this 207-nucleotide non-coding RNA. The record is from the annotation of a GenBank genome assembly. NCBI's taxonomy places the organism in Eukaryota, Metazoa, Chordata, Amphibia, Anura, Pelobatidae.
GGUCAUUCGGUGCUUGCCCUGUUUGAGUGGUGAUACCCCAGAUAGCUAUGCCAUGGAGCCCAUCCGAAUAAUGAAAGACUAUGGGAAAGACUUUGGUUCCAUGGCAAUUGAACUGUAUGUGUGUGAUCUGAACGCCAUUCAGUUAUAAUGUGCGCUCAGAUCUGAGCUAUCUGGGGAUAUGUUGAAUGUACCUGUUUUAUGCAAUGG